GAUGAACGCUGGCGGCGUGCUUAACACAUGCAAGUCGAACGGAAAGGCUCCUGCUUGCAGGGGUACUCGAGUGGCGAACGGGUGAGUAACACGUGGGUGAUCUGCCCUGCACUUCGGGAUAAGCCUGGGAAACUGGGUCUAAUACCGGAUAGGACGAUGGUUUGGAUGCCAUUGUGGAAAGUUUUUUCGGUGUGGGAUGAGCUCGCGGCCUAUCAGCUUGUUGGUGGGGUAAUGGCCUACCAAGGCGUCGACGAGUAGCCGGCCUGAGAGGGUGUACGACCACAAUGGGACUGAUAUACAGCCCAGACUCCUACGGGAGGCAGCAGUAGGGAAUAUUGCACAAUAGGCGCAAGCCUGAUGCAGCGACGCCGUGUAGGGGAUAACGGCCUUCAGGUUGUAAACUCCUUUCGCUAGGGACGAAGCGUAAGUAACGGUACCUGGAGAAGAAGCACCGGCUAACUACGUG
This 466-nucleotide ribosomal RNA is filed under the name uncultured bacterium. Its description in RNAcentral is "partial 16S ribosomal RNA". It matches the Rfam family "Bacterial small subunit ribosomal RNA", at positions 28 to 507 of the family's 1533-position model. The record is from RNAcentral.